AGCGAACGGACGAGAAGCUUGCUUCUCUGAUGUUAGCGGCGGACGGGNGAGUAACACGUGGAUAACCUACCUAUAAGACUGGGAUAACUUCGGGAAACCGGAGCUAAUACCGGAUAAUAUUUUGAACCGCAUGGUUCAAAAGUGAAAGACGGUCUUGCUGUCACUUAUAGAUGGAUCCGCGCUGCAUUAGCUAGUUGGUAAGGUAACGGCUUACCAAGGCAACGAUGCAUAGCCGACCUGAGAGGGUGAUCGGCCACACUGGAACUGAGACACGGUCCAGACUCCUACGGGAGGCAGCAGUAGGGAAUCUUCCGCAAUGGGCGAAAGCCUGACGGAGCAACGCCGCGUGAGUGAUGAAGGUCUUCGGAUCGUAAAACUCUGUUAUUAGGGAAGAACAUAUGUGUAAGUAACUGUGCACAUCUUGACGGUACCUAAUCAGAAAGCCACGGCUAACUACGUGCCAGCAGCCGCGGUAAUACGUAGGUGGCAAGCGUUAUCCGGAAUUAUUGGGCGUAAAGCGCGCGUAGGCGGUUUUUUAAGUCUGAUGUGAAAGCCCACGGCUCAACCGUGGAGGGUCAUUGGAAACUGGAAAACUUGAGUGCAGAAGAGGAAAGUGGAAUUCCAUGUGUAGCGGUGAAAUGCGCAGAGAUAUGGAGGAACACCAGUGGCGAAGGCGACUUUCUGGUCUGUAACUGACGCUGAUGUGCGAAAGCGUGGGGAUCAAACAGGAUUAGAUACCCUGGUAGUCCACGCCGUAAACGAUGAGUGCUAAGUGUUAGGGGGUUUCCGCCCCUUAGUGCUGCAGCUAACGCAUUAAGCACUCCGCCUGGGGAGUACGACCGCAAGGUUGAAACUCAAAGGAAUUGACGGGGACCCGCACAAGCGGUGGAGCAUGUGGUUUAAUUCGAAGCAACGCGAAGAAACUUACCAAAUCUUGACAUCCUUUGACCACUCUAGAGAUAGAGCCUUCCCCUUCGGGGGACAAAGUGACAGGUGGUGCAUGGUUGUCGUCAGCUCGUGUCGUGAGAUGUUGGGUUAAGUCCCGCAACGAGCGCAACCCUUAAGCUUAGUUGCCAUCAUUAAGUUGGGCACUCUAAGUUGACUGCCGGUGACAAACCGGAGGAAGGUGGGGAUGACGUCAAAUCAUCAUGCCCCUUAUGAUUUGGGCUACACACGUGCUACAAUGGACAAUACAAAGGGCAGCGAAACCGCGAGGUCAAGCAAAUCCCAUAAAGUUGUUCUCAGUUCGGAUUGUAGUCUGCAACUCGACUACAUGAAGCUGGAAUCGCUAGUAAUCGUAGAUCAGCAUGCUACGGUGAAUACGUUCCCGGGUCUUGUACACACCGCCCGUCACACCACGAGAGUUUGUAACACCCGAAGCCGGUGGAGUANCCUUUUAGG
This 1401-nucleotide ribosomal RNA is filed under the name Staphylococcus aureus. Its description in RNAcentral is "bacterial SSU rRNA". It matches the Rfam family "Bacterial small subunit ribosomal RNA". The record is from RNAcentral. Lineage: Bacteria; Bacillati; Bacillota; Bacilli; Caryophanales; Staphylococcaceae. RNAcentral also lists the same sequence under 1 other name.